Molecule: ribosomal RNA, 499 nt
Filed under: uncultured bacterium
Lineage: Bacteria
Description: partial 16S ribosomal RNA
Rfam family: Bacterial small subunit ribosomal RNA
Source: RNAcentral
GAUGAACGCUGGCGGCGUGCCUAAUACAUGCAAGUCGAGCGAACAGACGAGAGUGCUUGCACUCUCUGACGUUAGCGGCGGACGGGUGGGUAACACGUGGGUAACCUACCUAUAAGACUGGGAUAACUUCGGGAAACCGGAGCUAAUACCGGAUAAUAUUUAGCUUCGCAUGAAGCAAUAGUGAAAGACGGUUCUGCUGUCACUUAUAGAUGGACCCGCGGUGUAUUAGCUAGUUGGUGAGGUAACGGCUCACCAAGGCAACGAUACAUAGCCGACCUGAGAGGGUGAUCGGCCACACUGGGACUGAGACACGGCCCAGACUCCUACGGGAGGCAGCAGUAGGGAGUCUUCCGCAAUGGACGAAAGUCUGACGGAGCAAUGCCGCGUGAGUGAAGAAGGUUUUCGGAUCGUAAAACUCUGUUGUAAGGGAAGAACAAGUACGUUAGUAACUGAACGUACCUUGACGGUACCUUACCAGAAAGCCACGGCUAACUACGUG